Juglans regia (Persian walnut) is the source of this 631-nucleotide long non-coding RNA. RefSeq lists it as uncharacterized. The transcript has 3 exons. Lineage: Eukaryota; Viridiplantae; Streptophyta; Magnoliopsida; Fagales; Juglandaceae. The record is from RefSeq and is a predicted model, not a curated record.
AAUUUUCCACUAAAUUUCUUUUCUCCUUCAUCCAUUCCCACACAUUUCACCUUCUCCCAAAUCUGGUUCAGAAAAAUCCAAACUCAAAAGGUUUCAUCCAUUCCCUGGGAAUUUUUUCGUUGCGGAGAAGGAUUUUCGUUGUUGCCGAUGUGGCUCGCUUGAAGGAUACGAAUGAGAAACUCUUCAAGUUCACUUGUCUUUUUGUCCAAUGAGGCACGUUGUUUGAAAUAGUCGGUGAUCAGGGAUCUGGGAGAAGGAAGACCAAAUGGUUUUGACAUUGCUAUGUUUUUUUUCCCUUAAGCGACAUUGCCUGGUUGAGAAAUUUAAGAGAGGAAUGUGAAAGUCACAGGUAUUGUGCAUUAUCUAUUUAGUCUUUGAUUGCCAAAUAAAAGACAAGAAGAGGUGCCCAUUUCAUGUUGCAGCAGCUAGCUUUUCCAUGUGAAUACCCACUAAUCAAGGCCGCUUGAUAUAUGGUUGAUGUAAUUGGACAAAAGCUACAAGAAUGUCUACGCUAGAUCCAUGUGAAUGUAGUCACCAUAGUGACCUUAGUAUGUUGUAACCGUGUAUGUAGCUAGAAACUAUGUGUAUUGUAAAAGUUUACAUAUUAGCGAUGUAAUUGUGAGCCAUUAAA